CUGAUAUAGAGGUUCUGGAUGGCAGGGAGCUCGGCCCCAGUGAUGUACUGGGCUGUCCUCACCACCACCUGAUAUAGAGGUUCUGGAUGGCAGGGAGCUCGGCCCCAGUGAUGUACUGGGCUGAUCCGUAGCACAGAUCACGAAGUCAGAUAAUUUUCACUCCAUUCACAUGCUUAUCAGUUUAAGUCAUACACGGGCUUGUCAUGUUGUUAUUUGAACAGGCCCUGGUCUACAGUGAAAUAAUCUAAUUUCAGUCCUCCUUUAUGAUGAUUAUUUUUGUUCUAUCUGUCGUAGCUCAUUAGUACACCUUUGUGGUUGAAAUGUAUAUCUAUUGUGUGUCCUAGGAUACAACAAUUAAUUGAACCCCUAACCCUGGUAACGGAGGACAUCAGGUGGGUGUUGGGUAGAACCACUAGGUCCUGGAGAACAGGUAACGGAGGACAUCAGGUGGGUGUUGGGCAGAGCCCCUAGGUCCUGGAGAACAGGUAACGGAGGACAUCGGAUGGAUCUGGGUGUUGGGUUGAACCCCCUAGGUCCUGGAGAACAAGAGCAGAGUUAGAGGUUAGGAGACGGACGUCAACAAGCAAACACACAGGUUACACUUUACUGGGAGAACAUUUUGAUGGAUUAGUGCAGUGUUAUAAAUGGGAGAUAUUUACUUUUCAACACUGGGAUGGUACAGCCUACCUCAAGCUGGUCCCCCUCUGACUCCGAGCACAGAUAAUCAGACUGAUCUGAACUCACUGGUUCUGGUGGAUGGGAUACUUCCUGGGGAGCUCAGACAGUUGAUGGUCCUCAAGUCAUUUUUAUAAGCUCAGCAUAACUACCAUUUCUUUCUUUCUCAAAUGUCAACCAAAGCUUAACACACUAUCUAUUGGGCUUCACUGAAGUGUAGGGCAUCAGGGCUUUCAGUGGUCGACCGUCCAACUCCAGCAUGUAAAUCCUGGUGGGGCAUAGGGGGGGGGGGGGGGACAGCUUUUAGAUGCAUGCCAGUGUUGACAAGGGGGGGCCACAAACUGUUAGGGACUACAUCAAUCUGUCCCAACACCUUACCACUGCUACACCUGACUAUCAGCGGAGCCUUGUCUGGCAGCGAAACGGUUCAUUCAUGCUGUUGGAUUCGUGGUAAACUUUGAACAUUGAGAUAUUAAAGACAUAAUAGAUCAGACGCAUAGUGUAUAAAAAGAGACUGGGUUUAUGCCAGAAGGUAAUGGGUCUCCGUAGAAAGACCGAUGGCUUUGGAAUGUGUUGGGUGGACGGGAGGAGAUCACAGGAUUGCUAUAAGGGAAGUGGAUGGACAUCUGUGGAUUAGGCAAAGGAAGGUUUGAGGUCAAGAGGUCAGGUCAGAUCCCCUGAAGGGAGUAAUAAGGGUUUAGUAUCCUGUUUCCCUUAUCCUGUGGAACCAUAAGAUGUAAGGAUUGGAGAGAAUGAGGAGUGUCCAAAGUGGGGUGUAUAUAUAUACUUGUGACGGUGAGAACAUGUUUUUGUCUGAAUUACAGCUGUAACGACCCUUUGGGGAAGAAUUAAACUUGGUUAAGCUUC
This is a non-coding RNA of Oncorhynchus mykiss (rainbow trout), 1542 nucleotides long. NCBI's taxonomy places the organism in Eukaryota, Metazoa, Chordata, Actinopteri, Salmoniformes, Salmonidae. The record is from RefSeq and is a predicted model, not a curated record.